Molecule: non-coding RNA, 1096 nt
Organism: Aegilops tauschii subsp. strangulata
Lineage: Eukaryota; Viridiplantae; Streptophyta; Magnoliopsida; Poales; Poaceae
Source: RefSeq, a predicted model, not a curated record
AUAGGCCUAUAGACUGACUUCCGAUCUCCUUUGAUUUACAUUUAUGCACUGAUUGCUACUCUAUUAAAUUAGUAAUUAUUAGAUAUCAAUGGAGCAUCAAAUUUUUAAAAAUUCUUAUACGCUGCUAAGUGCUAACUCAUCCAUCCUUGGUAGAUGAGUCGUUAAUCCUUUCUAUUUUUUUUAUGUAGAGAAGCACUACUUCUUAUAUGCGGACCCCAUGUUAAAUAGGCUAUUACAAGAGUUACAAUAUUUAAAGAGGGAUCCAGUCUUAAUAGAUCUCUGUAUUGCAGUUUUGAUGAGUUACUAAUCAAAGUUUUUGUUGCAAUUUCACACUUUUUGGGAGUCUGAUGGUCAGGUUAUUCAGGUGGAGGUAGUAGCUUGCUAAUGUUGGCUUUCACGUCCAGCGCAAAUACUAGUGGACGUGGACCUGUUGGGGAAAGCACGUACAUCUUUGUGUUUAGUGAGCAGGUUUCCGAAGAAAGAAAUACUCAAUGCCAUUCGGUGGUUUUCAAUGUGCCAGUGUCUACAUUCAUAGUACAUCAUUGAGUUUUACCUUCAACUAAGACUAUUUCCGUUGAGGUGAUUAUUUAUUUAUUCCUUUAUUGCUUAGAUUAGCUCUAACCAUUUUUCAGCCUUCUUUUCUGCUCUUAUUCAACUACUUAUGUACUCCUAUCUCACCAAUUGUGUACCUAUUGUUGUGUGUAAUUUAAUGUGAGGCGCCGCACUCAUCCGUUCCAGCACUGCCGAGAUGGAGGCGACAUCACGGACGACUGGAGCUGCGAGUAGAUUUGUCCAAGAUACAGCAGUGUUCGUAGUCAUAGUUCUGAUUCAAAAGAUAUACAGAUGAUUAUAUGGGUGCGUGGCAAGUAUACUGCAAUGAUGAUGAUGAUGUUCCCGAUUCACGAUGAAGACGAUGAUAGCUGUUCUCAGUUUUAGUUUAGUUGUAGGGAUGCUUUUCCUGUCGGAUGAUGUUCCUUGGUUAAGUUUUAGUUUAAGUUGUAGGGAUGUUGAUGGAUGAUUUCAGUUUAAGUUUUGCUGUCAAGAGAAUAUUCAGGUUAUGCAUCACAUUUGGAUGUUAUUCCUCCUGUAAUAUCAA